CUUUGGUUCGACCGAAAAUCUAUUUUAAAUGUGCUAUAUAAAUAAAAUUUGAUUUGAUUUGAAGGUGUGCCAAAUUGUGAGGCCGUGUGCUGUGCUGCACAAUUUGGCACUCCUUAAAAAUGUGCCGUUACCCCCUGAGGCUGCAUGUACCGGCCACGAGCCAGACCCCCUUCCCCAUGCACAUCCACACCCACACCCAGGUGGAGUUCAACAGCGUCUGGAUGUGAUGCGUAACUUACACACACAACAAGGACUGCAUCUGUGAGGACACGGCCGCUGCUGGAGGGCUGCGCAGGAGGUGCUGUGGAGACGCCGGGCCCGGGGCUCGAGGCACGAGGUGCCGUGCCCGUGGAGGCAGGAGGUGCCGUGCCCGUGGAGGCAGCGGGGCUCGAGGCACGAGGUGCCGUGCCCGUGGAGGCAGGAGGUGCCGUGCCCGUGGAGGCAGCGGGGCUCGAGGCACGAGGUGCCGUGCCCGUGGAGGCAGCGGGGCUCGAGGCACGAGGUUCCUCGCGAGGUCCUCCUACCCUGGUGGAACCAGCAUCUUGUUAAUUCUUUUUUCUUAAUAAAGUUAUGAUUUGUUUUUCGAAAUACA
Molecule: long non-coding RNA, 592 nt
Organism: Pseudoliparis swirei
Lineage: Eukaryota; Metazoa; Chordata; Actinopteri; Perciformes; Liparidae
Exons: 3
Source: RefSeq, a predicted model, not a curated record